GAUGAACGCUGGCGGCGUGCCUAAUACAUGCAAGUCGAGCGAACGGACGAGAAGCUUGCUUCUCUGAUGUUAGCGGCGGACGGGUGAGUAACACGUGGAUAACCUACCUAUAAGAAUGGGAUAACUUCGGGAAACCGGAGCUAAUACCGGAUGAUAUUUUGAACCGCAUGGUUCAAAAGUGAAAGACGGUCUUGCUGUCACUUAUAGAUGGAUCCGCGCUGCAUUAGCUAGUUGUUAAGGUAACGGCUUACCAAGGCAACUAUGCAUAGCCGACCUGAGAGGGUGAUCGGCCACACUGGAACUUAUACACGCUCCAGACUCCUACGGGACGCAGCAGUAGGGAAUCUUCCGCAAUGGGCGAAAGCCUGACGGAGCAACGCCGCGUGAGUGAUGACGGUCUUCGGAUCGUAAAACUCUGUUAUUAGGGAAGAACAUAUGUGUAAGUAACUGUGCACAUCUUGACGGUACCUAAUCAGAAAGCCACGGCUAACUACGUG
RNAcentral lists this ribosomal RNA (497 nucleotides) under uncultured bacterium. RNAcentral's name for it is "partial 16S ribosomal RNA". It matches the Rfam family "Bacterial small subunit ribosomal RNA", at positions 28 to 507 of the family's 1533-position model. The record is from RNAcentral.